This 468-nucleotide ribosomal RNA is filed under the name uncultured bacterium. RNAcentral's name for it is "partial 16S ribosomal RNA". It matches the Rfam family "Bacterial small subunit ribosomal RNA", at positions 28 to 507 of the family's 1533-position model. The record is from RNAcentral.
GACGAACGCUGGCGGCGUGCCUAAUACAUGCAAGUCGAACGGUGAUGCUCCAGCUUGCUGGUGUGGAUCAGUGGCGAACGGGUGAGUAACACGUGAGCAACCUGCCCCAGACCGUGGGAUAACCGCUGGAAACGACGGCUAAUACUGGAUAAGAAAAUGGCCUGCAUGGGCUUGGCUUGAAAAGUUCGUUGGUUUGGGAUGGACGCGCGGCCUAUCAGCUUGUUGGUGAGGUAAUGGUACACACAGGCGACGACGGGUAGCCGUCCUGAGAGUGCGACAGGCCACAGAGGGACUGAGGAGCGGGCCAGAGUGCAACGGGGGGCAGCAGUGGGAGUCAUUGCGCGAUGGGCGGAAGGCGGAUGGAGGGACGCCGCAUGGUGGAGGACGGUCGUAAGGGUGGAAACCGUGUUCAGCUGGGAAGAAGCGAAAGUGACGGUACCUUAAGAAGAAGCACCGGCUAACUACGUG